Molecule: ribosomal RNA, 253 nt
Filed under: uncultured bacterium
Lineage: Bacteria
Description: partial 16S ribosomal RNA
Rfam family: Bacterial small subunit ribosomal RNA
Source: RNAcentral
UACGUAGGUGGCAAGCGUUGUCCGGAUUUAUUGGGUUUAAAGGGUGCGUAGGCGGUCUUAUAAGUCAGUGCUGAAAUAUCCCGGCUUAACCGGGAGGGUGGCAUUGAUACUGCAAGACUUGAGUAGAGUUGAGGUUGGCGGAAUUGACGGUGUAGCGGUGAAAUGCUUAGAUAUCGUCAAGAACACCGAUAGUGAAGACAGCUAACUAAGCUCUAACUGACGCUGAGGCACGAAAGUGUGGGGAUCAAACAGG